ACUCCUACGGGAGGCAGCAGUGGGGAAUAUUGCACAAUGGGGGCAACCCUGAUGCAGCAACGCCGCGUGAGCGAAGAAGGCCCUCGGGUCGUAAAGCUCUGUCCUAUGGGAAGAAGAAGUGACGGUACCAUAGGAGGAAGCCCCGGCUAACUACGUGCCAGCAGCCGCGGUAAUACGUAGGGGGCAAGCGUUAUCCGGAAUCACUGGGCGUAAAGGGUGCGUAGGCGGCCGAACAAGUCAGGGGUGAAAGGCUACGGCUCAACCGUAGUAAGCCUUUGAAACUAUUCGGCUUGAGUACAGGAGAGGUAAGUGGAAUUCCUAGUGUAGCGGUGAAAUGCGUAGAUAUUAGGAGGAACACCAGUGGCGAAGGCGACUUACUGGACUGUAACUGACGCUGAGGCACGAAAGCGUGGGGAGCGAACAGGAUUAGAUACCCUAGUAGUCC
RNAcentral lists this ribosomal RNA (445 nucleotides) under uncultured bacterium. Its description in RNAcentral is "bacterial SSU rRNA". It matches the Rfam family "Bacterial small subunit ribosomal RNA", at positions 335 to 796 of the family's 1533-position model. The record is from RNAcentral.